This is a long non-coding RNA of Mytilus californianus (California mussel), 278 nucleotides long. RefSeq lists it as uncharacterized. Lineage: Eukaryota; Metazoa; Mollusca; Bivalvia; Mytilida; Mytilidae. The record is from RefSeq and is a predicted model, not a curated record. The transcript is spliced from 2 exons.
AAAAGGAUGUGUAUUACAUUCUAAAACAUUUAAAUACAGCGUUCCUGAACAAGUACAAGAUGGAUGGACAUUUUAUCUUUUGGUAGUUACGAAAAACAGGUGUCCAUCAGACAUAGAUGGUUUUAUGCACUAUCGCCAUCUUGAUUUGUGUUACAACUUUAACCCAGAACAUUAUAUCGACUAUCCUGGACACAUCCAACAAACGUGUUCGUCAUAUGGUGGAGAAUUACUGAGGAUUGAUUCACAGGAGCGCCAAACGUAUAUAGAGCAUAUUCUCG